GGCGGGUUGCCCGAGUGGCCAAUGGGAGCGGACUGUAAAUCCGUCGCGAAAGCUUCAGAGGUUCGAAUCCUCUACCCGCCACCA
Molecule: transfer RNA, 84 nt
Filed under: Micromonospora sp. ATA32
Lineage: Bacteria; Bacillati; Actinomycetota; Actinomycetes; Micromonosporales; Micromonosporaceae
Description: tRNA-Tyr
Rfam family: tRNA
About the family: Transfer RNA (tRNA) molecules are approximately 80 nucleotides in length. Their secondary structure includes four short double-helical elements and three loops (D, anti-codon, and T loops). Further hydrogen bonds mediate the characteristic L-shaped molecular structure. tRNAs have two regions of fundamental functional importance: the anti-codon, which is responsible for specific mRNA codon recognition, and the 3' end, to which the tRNAs corresponding amino acid is attached (by aminoacyl-tRNA synthetases). tRNAs cope with the degeneracy of the genetic code in two manners: having more than one tRNA (with a specific anti-codon) for a particular amino acid; and 'wobble' base-pairing, i.e. permitting non-standard base-pairing at the 3rd anti-codon position.
Source: RNAcentral